CGCUGGCGGCGUGCCUAAUACAUGCAAGUCGAACGGUCUUUCUAUGGAAGCUUGCUUCCACUGAGAAGAUAGUGGCGAACGGGUGAGUAACACGUGGGUAACCUGCCCAUAAGAGGGGGGAUAACAUCCGGAAACGGGUGCUAAUACCGCAUAGUUUUCUUGAUCGCAUGAUCGGGAAAGGAAAGACGGCCUUUGUGCUGUCGCUUAUGGAUGGACCCGCGGCGUAUUAGUUAGUUGGUGAGGUAACGGCUCACCAAGACGAUGAUACGUAGCCGACCUGAGAGGGUGAUCGGCCACAUUGGGACUGAGACACGGCCCAAACUCCUACGGGAGGCAGCAGUAGGGAAUCUUCCGCAAUGGACGAAAGUCUGACGGAGCAACGCCGCGUGAGUGAAGAAAGGUUUUCGGAUCGUAAAACUCUGUUGUCAGAGAAGAACAAGUUGGAGAGUAACUGCUCCAGCCUUGACGGUAUCUGACCAGAAAGCCACGGCUAACUACGUGCCAGCAGCCGC
Molecule: ribosomal RNA, 512 nt
Filed under: uncultured bacterium
Lineage: Bacteria
Description: bacterial SSU rRNA
Rfam family: Bacterial small subunit ribosomal RNA
Source: RNAcentral